AGAGUUUGAUCCUGGCUCAGGAUGAACGCUGGCGGCGUACCUAAUACAUGCAAGUCGAGCGAACAGAUAAGGAGCUUGCUCCUUUGACGUUAGCGGCGGACGGGUGAGUAACACGUGGGUAGCUUACCUAUAAGACUGGAAUAACUCCGGGAAACCGGGGCUAAUGCCGGAUAACAUGUUGAACCGCAUGGUUCUACAGUGAAAGGCGGCUUUGCUGUCACUUAUAGAUGGACCCGCGCCGUAUUAGCUAGUUGGUGAGGUAACGGCUCACCAAGGCAACGAUACGUAGCCGACCUGAGAGGGUGAUCGGCCACACUGGAACUGAGACACGGUCCAGACUCCUACGGGAGGCAGCAGUAGGGAAUCUUCCGCAAUGGGCGAAAGCCUGACGGAGCAACGCCGCGUGAGUGAUGAAGGUCUUCGGAUCGUAAAACUCUGUUAUUAGGGAAGAACAAAUGCGUAAGUAACUGUGCGCGUCUUGACGGUACCUAAUCAGAAAGCCACGGCUAACUACGUGCCAGCAGCCGCGGUAAUACGUAGGUGGCAAGCGUUAUCCGGAAUUAUUGGGCGUAAAGCGCGCGUAGGCGGUUUUUUAAGUCUGAUGUGAAAGCCCACGGCUCAACCGUGGAGGGUCAUUGGAAACUGAAAAACUUGAGUGCAGAAGGGGAAAGUGGAAUUCCAUGUGUAGCGGUGAAAUGCGCAGAGAUAUGGAGGAACACCAGUGGCGAAGGCGACUUUCUGGUCUGUAACUGACGCUGAUGUGCGAAAGCGUGGGGAUCAAACAGGAUUAGAUACCCUAGUAGUCC
RNAcentral lists this ribosomal RNA (806 nucleotides) under uncultured bacterium. RNAcentral's name for it is "bacterial SSU rRNA". It matches the Rfam family "Bacterial small subunit ribosomal RNA", at positions 8 to 796 of the family's 1533-position model. The record is from RNAcentral.